GAUGAACGCUGGCUACAGGCUUAACACAUGCAAGUCGAGGGGCAGCAUGCUACGCUUUCGGGCGUGGUGAUGGCGACCGGCGCACGGGUGAGUAACGCGUAUCCGACCUGCCCCGUACCAGGGCACAGCCCGUCGAAAGACGGAUUAAUGCCCUAUGUUCUCCGGAGUGUCCAUGCAGUCCGGAGCAAAGGUAUAUUCCGGUACGGGAUGGGGAUGCGUCCGAUUAGCUUGCCGGCGGGGUAACGGCCCACCGGGGCAUCGAUCGGUAGGGGUUCUGAGAGGAAGGUCCCCCACACUGGGACUGAGACACGGUCCAGACUCCUACGGGAGGCAGCAGUGAGGAAUAUUGGUCAAUGGGGGUAACCCUGAACCAGCCAAGUAGCGUGCAGGAUGACGGCCCUAUGGGUUGUAUACUGCUUUUGUGCGCGGAUAACCGGAGGGACUUGUCCCUCCCUGCAGGUAGCGCAUGAAUAAGGACCGGCUAAUUCCGUGCCAGCAGCCGCCGUAA
This 508-nucleotide ribosomal RNA is filed under the name uncultured bacterium. RNAcentral's name for it is "partial 16S ribosomal RNA". It matches the Rfam family "Bacterial small subunit ribosomal RNA", at positions 28 to 523 of the family's 1533-position model. The record is from RNAcentral.